ACCAGGAGAGAAAUAAACAGGCAUGUAAAUACCGUUAAAAUUAAAUGGACAUUUGAUUCACAAAAAUAAAUGGAAAAUACUAUUCAGGAUAUACAAACUGAAGAUACUUACUAAAAUCACACUACAAAUAUCUUGAAGCAAGUUCUCGAGCCUCAUAAGAGAUGGGUAUGUAAGUGCCCAUUAAAUAGACAUGUAAAUGACUAUUAAAUAGACAUUUGAGACAUUGAAUUAGACAAAAAUGCGAGAUAUACACGAUGGAAGUACUAAAAAAAAGCACACUGAAAUAGCGCAGAGCCCCUCAUGCACACAUAAUACAUAUACUAAAGUGUACAACGAAGCAGAUUUAGGCAAGCAUACAAUUAAAUAGACCAAUUUCACAUAACUUGAAGGCAAUGAGGAAGGGGGAAACAAAUAAAAAAUCGACCAAACCUACAUAAAACACACUGCAGACAAGAUCAAACAAUUUCUCAGAUAAAAGUAAUAGCCUUUAUACUCGAAGAUACUUCAACAUAAAAUUUAGAUAAUCCAUGUCAAUUCCAUAUCUCUCAGAAAAAGAGCAAAAAGAAAAAGCUAACAACAAAAUGCAGCUAGCUAUAUGUAUUUUAGACAUUAUAGGUAGGUAGUCC
This 626-nucleotide long non-coding RNA is filed under the name Phaseolus vulgaris (common bean). Its description in RNAcentral is "long non-coding RNA (PVUL_LNC004685)". The record is from RNAcentral. Lineage: Eukaryota; Viridiplantae; Streptophyta; Magnoliopsida; Fabales; Fabaceae.